UACGUAGGUGGCAAGCGUUGUCCGGAAUUAUUGGGCGUAAAGCGCGCGCAGGCGGUCCUUUAAGUCUGAUGUGAAAGCCCUCGGCUCAACCGAGGAGGGUCAUUGGAAACUGGAGGACUUGAGUGCAGAAGUGGAAAGUGGAAUUCCAAGUGUAGCGGUGAAAUGCGUAGAGAUUUGGAGGAACACCAGUGGCGAAGGCGACUUUCUGGUCUGUAACUGACGCUGAGGCGCGAAAGCGUGGGGAGCGAACAGG
RNAcentral lists this ribosomal RNA (253 nucleotides) under uncultured bacterium. Its description in RNAcentral is "partial 16S ribosomal RNA". It matches the Rfam family "Bacterial small subunit ribosomal RNA", at positions 524 to 776 of the family's 1533-position model. The record is from RNAcentral.